CGUAGGUGGCAAGCGUUGUCCGGAUUUAUUGGGUUUAAAGGGUGCGUAGGCGGUCCUAUAAGUCAGUUGUGAAAUACGGCAGCUUAACUGUCGAGGUGCAAUUGAUACUGCAGGACUUGAGUACAGACGAGGUAGGCGGAAUUGACGGUGUAGCGGUGAAAUGCUUAGAUAUCGUCAAGAACACCGAUAGCGAAGGCAGCUUACUAGACUGUAACUGACGCUGAUGCACGAAAGCGUGGGGAUCAAACAGGAUUAGAUACCCUGGUAGUCCACACUGUAAACGAUGAUUACUCGAUGUUGGCGAUACACAGCCAGCGUCUUAGCAAAAGCGAUAAGUAAUCCACCUGGGGAGUACGCCGGCAACGGUG
Molecule: ribosomal RNA, 368 nt
Filed under: uncultured organism
Description: bacterial SSU rRNA
Rfam family: Bacterial small subunit ribosomal RNA
Source: RNAcentral